Long non-coding RNA from Erigeron canadensis, 170 nucleotides. RefSeq lists it as uncharacterized. The record is from RefSeq and is a predicted model, not a curated record. Lineage: Eukaryota; Viridiplantae; Streptophyta; Magnoliopsida; Asterales; Asteraceae. The transcript has 3 exons.
UCAUCAUCUUCUUCAUUUCCCUCAUAGUUUUUGGACUUUUGGACAGAUAGUGAGCUUGUUUCAGUGUUUCUGACAGUUCGUGUUCCUGUUCGUUGAUAUAGGAUAUUUAUACUUGUACUGCUUUCAGGUGCCCAGGCUAAUCAGGGAUAAAGACUGCUAUGCUAGGCUGG